RNAcentral lists this ribosomal RNA (385 nucleotides) under uncultured bacterium. RNAcentral's name for it is "bacterial SSU rRNA". It matches the Rfam family "Bacterial small subunit ribosomal RNA", at positions 29 to 426 of the family's 1533-position model. The record is from RNAcentral.
AACGAACGCUGGCGGCAGGCCUAACACAUGCAAGUCGAACGCCGUAGCGAUACGGAGUGGCAGACGGGUGAGUAACGCGUGGGAACAUACCCCUCGGUUCGGAAUAACUCAGGGAAACUUGAGCUAAUACCGGAUAAGUCCGAGGUUUUAAUUCGACCUUGGAGAAAGAUUUAUCGCCGGAGGAUUGGCCCGCGUCUGAUUAGCUUGUUGGUGAGGUAAUGGCUCACCAAGGCGACGAUCAGAGCUGGUCUGAGAGGAUGAUCAGCCACAUUGGGACGUGAGACACGGCCCAAACUCCUACGGGAGGCAGCAGUGGGGAAGUAUUGGACAAUGGGCGAAAGCCUGAUCCAGCCAUGCCGCGUGAGUGAUGAAGGCCUUCGGUUGU